This 258-nucleotide ribosomal RNA is filed under the name Clostridioides difficile. Its description in RNAcentral is "partial 23S ribosomal RNA". It matches the Rfam family "Bacterial large subunit ribosomal RNA", at positions 531 to 788 of the family's 2925-position model. Lineage: Bacteria; Bacillati; Bacillota; Clostridia; Peptostreptococcales; Peptostreptococcaceae. The record is from RNAcentral.
GAGGGGAGUGAAAUAGAACCUGAAACCCUGCACUUACAAGCUGUGGAAGCACAGUUCUGGUGUGUCCACGUACUUUUUGGAGAACGGGUCAACGAGUUAUGUUAAGUAGUAAGGUUAAUCACUUAAGGUGCGAAGCCGUAGCGAAAGCGAGUUUUAACUGAGCGUUCAGGUACUUGACGUAGACCCGAAACCGGGCGUCCGACCGAUGGGCAGGAUGAGGCUAAAGUAGAAUUUCGUUGAGGUCCGAACCCACGAGCG